GCAAAACCGUGCGCCCCGGCACGCACAGCCGCGCGGCCCCCGACCCCCCGCGCCCCUAACCCUAACGGGAUCCCAGUCCUAGGGACACCGGGCGCGUGCGCGACCCCAAUCAGUUAUUUAUGGACGAAUUAAUUAUGUAGCCGCCAUGGGCGGGGGGGCCGGGAGGGGCCAUGCGACGCGGAGACCACCCGGCCGCGGUGGCGGCUCUCCCGCCGGGCCUCGGGGUCGGGAGGCGUCCCCACGCCGCCCGGGGAGGGUCCCGUUGUGAGAAAGCUGCCUCGGGGUGGGCUCCGGGAGGAGCGCGGGGGAACCUGAGGAAGCGGGAGAGACGGCUCGGAGACCUCCCAAUUAGACUGGGAGGGGAGAGGGGGGCGGGCGACGGAGCUGGAAAGAGCGGGCCGCGGAGACCGGGGCGUGGGAAGAGCCUGGCCUAGGCAUUUCUUCCCUUCCUUCCUUCCUUCAUCCCCAUCCUUACUGCGAGCCCACUACGUGCCACUGCGCCCACAGCAGAGGGCGGUAUUAGGGAGGGGUUAGGAGCAGGAAGGAAUUUCGAGGUACAGCUGGGUCCAAAUCCGGAUACUCCCCUGCUGUGUGGCCUUAGGCAACGGCUUGCGCUCUCGGAGCCUCCACUUCCUCAUCUGCCAGUGGUCUUCAGGACGUGGGAGAUGGGGCGCUUGGGCAGAGAGUUUGUGGGGGCGCGGUCGAAGGGAGGUCCUGUCCUUGGGAAACUUUACAUAGAGGGGAACACGCCCAGUCCCCCAGUAUUCCCCAUCUCGAAGCCCCGACUUUGGGUCCCAUAUAAUCUGCCUCUCCCCGGGGCCCACACAUUUGAAGGUCGUUAUUAAAACCACACCACCCCCAAGGCCACUGCUCAGGGCGCUCACCCCUAGCUGGCUUCUCACCAGCCUGGCCCUGCAGAAGGUCGUGCAUAUGGCAGCCAGAGGGGCUCAAUCUAGUCCUUUUACUCCCCACCUCCGCUGCCUCCCCCCACUCUGCCCUUCACUUCCCCAUCUGGGUUCUCCUUCCAACCUCCUUCUAGUCUGGGCUAGGGAGAUUGGAGCCCUGAGGCCAUGGGGGCUACGGGGCAGUGAGAACAGGGGAGGGGGCUCAGCUGGCCCUCCCUGGACAAGUGUCCCCCUCGUCUGGGGUGUCAAGGCGUUCUACUUCCAAGACUCAGAAGUGAAGGAAGCUUCCGUUUGCGACCCAGGAUUGCCUAGGGGUUUGCCUGUCUUCUUUCACCAAAACUUGCAAUAACUCUGUUAGGUGAAUGGGGCAGAUCCAGGUUUUAUGGGGCCUGAAGGUUUUACAAUCCUGGGGACCCACUUGAAGAAGAAUAGUGCAAAGUUAUGAAUAGGCGGUUAAGCUCAGGGCCUUGGUAAAUGACAGUCCCAGGAGCUAAAGCUUCAUUAGCCCCUCGGUAACUCACCUCUGUAGAUGGACAACACAACUGUCAUCCCUUUGCAGAGGUGGAAACAAAGCUUAGGCCGGCCCAAGGUCACAACAGGUAGAAAGGACAAGCUGGGAUCAAACCCAGGUCCCACCCCACAGGCAGCACCCUGAACUAACUGCCUCAGUAGGAAUGCCACCUUCCAUAUCAUCUACCCCAUGCCACAUCUCACCUGUCCCCACCAGUGCCCAGCCCAGGCAGGGUCAGUCAGAACAGCCUUUGCUUCCAGAACAGUCUGUGUCCCUCCCUCCAGGGGCCUCCAUGUCCCAAGGCUCAAGCCUCAGAGACUCUGUCUUGUGACAACACUCACAGAUCUAGUAAGCAGGUCUCUUCUAAACUUUUGAUUCCUGCAAUGGUAACCUGCUCACUCCAGAACUCCAGCUCCCCCGUCCACCUGGAGGGAGCGCACCCCUGUUCCCUGGUGGGCUCCCUGGUGUUCGGGGCUGGAUCUGUUUUAUUUGGCUCAGUAUUCCCC
RNAcentral lists this long non-coding RNA (1922 nucleotides) under Pan troglodytes (chimpanzee). RNAcentral describes it as "lincRNA". The record is from RNAcentral. Lineage: Eukaryota; Metazoa; Chordata; Mammalia; Primates; Hominidae.